UGGUUACUGGGCUGGGGAGUAUCUUUUUUGUCUGUUUUAGUCUUUUACAUUUAGUCUAUGCACUUGGUCAUCUUAACGUAGUUACACAUGUAGAUGUUACUUGUAAAAUAAUGUGAUUGGUUUUCUUCGGAAUUAACUGUUGUAUUUCUCCAUUUAGAUGACAAAAGCUGAUUUCAUCCGGAACAAUCGAGGGAUUGACGAUGGGAAGGACUUACCUGAGGAUUAUUUAGGUGCUCUCUAUGACCAAAUACAUUGACGAUGGGAAGGACUUACCUGAAAAUUAUUUGGGGGCUCUCUAUGACCAAAUAGUGAAAAAUGAGAUAAAGAUGAAUGCAGAUUCUUCUGUGCCACAAAACAAGCAGGGUAACAGUCUUAAUAAGCUUUUGGGUUUGGAUGGUAUACUGAAUCUAGUAUGGAA
This 418-nucleotide long non-coding RNA is filed under the name Nicotiana benthamiana. RNAcentral describes it as "long non-coding RNA (NBEN_LNC021874)". The record is from RNAcentral. Lineage: Eukaryota; Viridiplantae; Streptophyta; Magnoliopsida; Solanales; Solanaceae.